Molecule: ribosomal RNA, 465 nt
Filed under: uncultured bacterium
Lineage: Bacteria
Description: partial 16S ribosomal RNA
Rfam family: Bacterial small subunit ribosomal RNA
Source: RNAcentral
CCUACGGGUGGCAGCAGUGGGGAAUCUUGGACAAUGGGCGCAAGCCUGAUCCAGCUAUUCCGCGUGUGGGAAGACGGCCUUCGGGUUGUAAACCACUUUUGUAGAGAACGAAAAGUCUGUUGAUAAUACCGAUAGAUGAUGACGGUACUCUAAGAAUAAGCACCGGCUAACUACGUGUCAGCAGCCGCGGUAAUACGUAGGGUGCGAGCGUUAAUCGGAAUUACUGGGCGUAAGGGGUGUGCAGGCGGUUUUGCAAGAUGGAUGUGAAAGCCCCGGGCUUAACCUGGGAAAGCCAUACAUGACUGCAAGACUAGAGUGCGUCAGAGGGGGGUGGAAUUCCAAGUGUAGCAGUGAAAUGCGUAGAUAUUUGGAAGAACACCGAUGGCGAAGGCAGCCCCCUGGGACGCAACUGACGCUCAUACACGAAAGCGUGGGGAGCAAACAGGAUUAGAUACCCUGGUAGUC